RNAcentral lists this ribosomal RNA (419 nucleotides) under uncultured Gigasporaceae. Its description in RNAcentral is "SSU rRNA". It matches the Rfam family "Eukaryotic small subunit ribosomal RNA", at positions 459 to 886 of the family's 1831-position model. The record is from RNAcentral. Lineage: Eukaryota; Fungi; Glomeromycota; Glomeromycetes; Diversisporales; Gigasporaceae.
GGGAGGUAGUGACAAUAAAUAACAAUACAGGGUCCUUUUGGGUCCUGUAAUUGGAAUGAGUACAAUUUAAAUCCCUUAACGAGGAACAAUUGGAGGGCAAGUCUGGUGCCAGCAGCCGCGGUAAUUCCAGCUCCAAUAGCGUAUAUUAAAGUUGUUGCAGUUAAAAAGCUCGUAGUUGAAUUUCGGUGUUCUACCGUUGGUCGGGCAAUAGUCUGUACUGGCGUGUGGAAUUUCUACCUUCUGGGGAACCAUCAUGUUAUUAAUUUAGCGUGGUGGGAAACCAGGACCCUUACCUUGAAAAAUUAGAGUGUUCAAAGCAGGCUUACGUCUGAAUACAUUAGCAUGGAAUAAUAAAAUAGGACGGUGGUCCUGUUUUGUUGGUUUCUGAAUCACCGUAAUGAUUAAUAGGGAUAGUUGGG